This 1557-nucleotide ribosomal RNA is filed under the name metagenome. RNAcentral describes it as "bacterial LSU rRNA". It matches the Rfam family "Bacterial large subunit ribosomal RNA", at positions 1385 to 2925 of the family's 2925-position model. The record is from RNAcentral.
CCCCCCCUAAGGCGAGGCCGAGAGGCGUAGUCGAUGGGAAAUUGGUUAAUAUUCCAAUACUUCUAUGUAAUGCGAUGAGAGGACGGAGAAGGUUAAGUCAGCCUGGCGUUGGUUGUCCAGGUGGAAGGUUGUAGGCAUGUAUCUUAGGCAAAUCCGGGGUACUCUAUGCUGAGAACUGAUAGCAAGCUGUACUUGUACAGUGAAGUGGCUGAUACCAUGCUUCCAGGAAAAGUCUCUAAGCUUCAGUUACACAGGAAUCGUACCCGAAACCGACACAGGUGGUCAGGUCGAGUAGACCAAAGCGCUUGAGAGAACUCUGCUGAAGGAACUAGGCAAAAUGGUACCGUAACUUCGGGAGAAGGUACGCUGCCGACGGUGAUAGGAUUUACUCCUUGAGCUAUUGGCAGCCACAGAAACCAGGCCCCUGCAACUGUUUAUUAAAAACAUAGCACUCUGCAAACACGAAAGUGGACGUAUAGGGUGUGAUGCCUGCCCGGUGCUGGAAGGUUAAUUGAUGGGGUUAGCGUAAGCGAAGCUCUUGAUCGAAGCCCCAGUAAACGGCGGCCGUAACUAUAACGGUCCUAAGGUAGCGAAAUUCCUUGUCGGGUAAGUUCCGACCUGCACGAAUGGCAUAAUGAUGGGGGCGCUGUCUCCAGCAGAGACUCAGUGAAAUCGAAUUCGCCGUGAAGAUGCGGUGUACCCGCGGCUAGACGGAAAGACCCCGUGAACCUUUACUGCAGCUUGACAUUGAACUUUGAUCUUACUUGUGUAGGAUAGGUGGGAGGCUUUGAAACCGAGACGCUAGUUUCGGUGGAGCCAAUCUUGAAAUACCACCCUGGUAGUAUUGAGGUUCUAACUCUGUCCCGUUAUCCGGGACGAGGACCAUGUCUGGUGGGUAGUUUGACUGGGGCGGUCUCCUCCUAAAGAGUAACGGAGGAGUACGAAGGUGCGCUCAGCGUGGUCGGAAAUCACGCGUAGAGUAUAAAGGCAAAAGCGCGCUUAACUGCGAGACCCACAAGUCGAGCAGGUACGAAAGUAGGUCUUAGUGAUCCGGUGGUUCUGUAUGGAAGGGCCAUCGCUCAACGGAUAAAAGGUACUCUGGAUAACAGGCUGAUACCGCCCAAGAGUUCAUAUCGACGGCGGUGUUUGGCACCUCGAUGUCGGCUCAUCUCAUCCUGGGGCUGAAGCAGGUCCCAAGGGUAUGGCUGUUCGCCAUUUAAAGAGGUACGCGAGCUGGGUUUAGAACGUCGUGAGACAGUUCGGUCCCUAUCUACCGUGGGCGCUGGAAAUUUGAGAGGAUCUGCUCCUGGUACGAGAGGACCAGAGUGGACGAACCUCUGGUGUACCGGUUGUGACGCCAGUCGCAUCGCCGGGUAGCUAUGUUCGGAAGGGAUAACCGCUGAAAGCAUCUAAGCGGGAAGCCUACCUCAAGAUAAGAUUUCCCUAGGACUUUAUGUCCUCUAAAGAGCCGUUGAAGACUACGACGUUGAUAGGUUGGAUGUGGAAGCAUAGUGAUAUGUGAAGCUGACCAAUACUAAUUGCUCGUGAGGCUUGACU